GUUUUUCUUCCUUUUCAGGUUUAGGUCUGAGAGUGUAUGCCAGAGUGUCUGCCUGUGCUAACCCUGCUGUGGUUCUGACGAAUUGACUGUCCCUGGCUUCCUUGUCUGUCAGCCGUACCAGUCGUUUAGAAGCUUUCGGCGCCUCGGAACUUGCACUGGAAACUCCAGGUUGUGACUGAAGGCCUUGUUUUGAGGGUGUUUUGCAGACCAGUGCUUGUCGGCCUGGGGAUUUUCCAGAAAAACUGUAGACUGCCCCCUUAAGGUUUAGGUCUGAGAGUGUAUGCCAGAGUGUCUGCCUGUGCUAACCCUGCUGUGGUUCUGACGAAUUGACUGUCCCUGGCUUCCUUGUCUGUCAGCCGUACCAGUCGUUUAGAAGCUUUCGGCGCCUCGGAACUUGCACUGGAAACUCCAGGUUGUGACUGAAGGCCUUGUUUUGAGGGUGUUUUGCAGACCAGUGCUUGUCGGCCUGGGGAUUUUCCAGAAAAACUGUAGACUGCCCCCUUAAGGUUUAGGUCUGAGAGUGUAUGCCAGAGUGUCUGCCUGUGCUAACCCUGCUGUGGUUCUGACGAAUUGACUGUCCCUGGCUUCCUUGUCUGUCAGCCGUACCAGUCGUUUAGAAGCUUUCGGCGCCUCGGAACUUGCACUGGAAACUCCAGGUUGUGACUGAAGGCCUUGUUUUGAGGGUGUUUUGCAGACCAGUGCUUGUCGGCCUGGGGAUUUUCCAGAAAAACUGUAGACUGCCCCCUUAAGAUUCAUCUGUGCUUAAGACCCUGUGACUCAUGGCCGCUGCUUUUUUUUUCGAGUUUUCCCCCGGAUCAGCUUGUAGUGAAACUGGAAGCUGUUCUGGGUGAAAAGAGUGAGUUGGUUGGUCUGUGUUGCCUGUGGACUGGUGAAACAGAUAGGUACGGCUAUGGUGUGCACCGUGUUGUUGUAUCGGGCAAGCGCAUCAAGCUAAAAGUCCACCGUCUCAAGUACUAUUUGUGUGAUCCCGGACACAGUGCACUGCAGCGCAAUUUCCAUAUCUCACACCUCUGCCACAAUAAGCUUUGCAUUAAUAUAGAGCAUUUAUCGUAUGAGCCAGUAACUGUUAAUAAUUCCCGCAAAGUGUGCCUUACAAAUGGUCAAUGCUCGGGUCACAGGGGCUUCAGGGAAUGCUGUCUGUGGUCUGCGGUAAAUAUACAAGUUAGGUUAUUGUUAUGUUGCCGUUCGCAGUUUGCAUGUACUGUACAUCACAAGGUUUUCUGCUUUACACUUUAAGUCCAUAGCUAUGGUCAGCAGCACUUGUAGAUGGCAUACUUUCAGAGGCAUAUAGACCGUCCCGGUACAGGGCUCUGUUUGCGUGCCGCUUUCUAAGGUAGAAUCUGACUAUUUUGUACCGCACUGAGGCCUUCCUGCGGCUGUCAUAUUCCCGUCUGCGAUCCUUGGCCUUCAGUUGGUUGUAUAUCAUGCUAUGUAAACUGAUUUUUUUCCCUGUCACCUUUUCUGCCACCUUCAUUGAUGAUUUGCUGGGCCCCAUAGACCUUGUAUGAACUGCAGAAUGACACAGAGCUGCAAAGUUUCUAGCAUAGAAUGAAGUUUUGGGGGCAUAAUGAAACACAGAUGCAUUUAAGCUCUCACAAGCAUUUGUGUUAAAGAGCUUUGCCACUUCUUUCAACCCCGUGGCAUCAAAUGUUUUAUUAAUGUUUCCUAAAAUAAUUUUCUUGUCACUCUCCUGGAGUGCUAGUGGCUCUCCAUAGGGCAAAUGUUUGUACGAGCUGGUCACUCGAUAGGUGCACACUCGUGAGCGUUCCUUGCACAUCUUGUGAUCUCCGGAGAAGCAAUGCAUGAUGUUUUCUAUAGCAAAUUUGGCCGAUCGAAGAAAAAGCUCAUCACUGCAGCUCUGUUUUCGCAGUCUUUCCAGUUCAAUGCGCACUCGGCAGCGGAGGCAGCUGGCCAGCUUACGCAUGUAUUCGUCUUUGUUGUACUUUUUUGGAAUGGAUUUGAUGUCUGACUUUGCGGCACGCACAUGUCUUUCGAGAGCUCUCAGCUUGUGAACAAAGCACUUGUAGUGGGUGGCCGUCUGCUUUUUUAAGUGAUUUGUUUGCUUUUUAAGCUCAUAGUAAUCCCGUAUAGCCUUUGCCGAUUGCGUACCAGAGUCGGUGGUUAUUGACCUUACUGCCAAAGGACCAUCUUUCACUUUAUCCAAUGACCUGUGAAGUAAUACUCGCUCACUGCUUGCAAUCGAGGCCUCAGCUGCAAAGGUUUUUGAGCAGUUAUCAUGCCUGCAGUACCUUUUUCUGCAAUGCUUGUUGGCCAUGGCUAUGGCAAGUGGGAGUUUUUGACCUGUAUUGUGUUCUACCAGGGCCCCAAAGCUUUGUGUAGACUUUUCGCAUCCCCCCUGGGGUCGACAUGUGUAGGCGACGUCAAAUUGGAUGUCAACUUCAGGUUCGAAGCCGGCUUUUUUCAUGACAUUUGCGACAUAGUCCUGAUUUAGUUCCAAUUGUUUGUCGCUCAGUUCUGUUUGUGCUUGUCCCAAGUCAUUAAA
Long non-coding RNA from Dreissena polymorpha, 2524 nucleotides. RefSeq lists it as uncharacterized. Lineage: Eukaryota; Metazoa; Mollusca; Bivalvia; Myida; Dreissenidae. The record is from RefSeq and is a predicted model, not a curated record. The transcript has 8 exons.